RNAcentral lists this non-coding RNA (45 nucleotides) under Schistosoma mattheei. The record is from RNAcentral. Lineage: Eukaryota; Metazoa; Platyhelminthes; Trematoda; Strigeidida; Schistosomatidae.
AUCCAGCUGACAAGUCCCGAAUCGGACGAAACACUCGUCCUGAAU